UCACAAUAUCAAGCUUGGCUUGUUGUUGGGCCCUUUGUCACCUGGUGACAGGUCCAAAAGACAAUAACCGGUGUCAUACAGACUCUAUAUGCAACGAGCUUAUAACAGCACGCAUGUGGUGGUCGUGUGGCCCAGUUUUUAUAUAUAUAAAUUUCUCAA
This 159-nucleotide unclassified non-coding RNA is filed under the name uncultured Chaetothyriales. RNAcentral describes it as "sequence contains ITS2". Lineage: Eukaryota; Fungi; Ascomycota; Eurotiomycetes; Chaetothyriales. The record is from RNAcentral.